This 692-nucleotide long non-coding RNA is filed under the name Triticum aestivum (bread wheat). Its description in RNAcentral is "long non-coding RNA (TAES_LNC023014)". The record is from RNAcentral. Lineage: Eukaryota; Viridiplantae; Streptophyta; Magnoliopsida; Poales; Poaceae.
AAGAGAACAACUCAAAUCCGAAAGAAGGUAGUAAUACAUUUAAACUUACCUACACUUGACAUACUCAUCAAUUUCAUUUCUACCAGUAGGAUUUGGCACUGUAAAAACACCCCUUCGUUCAUUACCCACAUCGAUACCCCUUCGUUCAUUACCCACAUCGAUACGCAUUCGUACAACAUCAUGGCCCUUCGUAAGGUAUUUGAAUAAAUACUUCAAAAGAUUCGUCUUAUUGCACCAUUCCACAUUUAUAUGAGCUUCAAACUUCUUCAAUAAUUUCAUAUUAUAUGGAACAACCCAUGCAUUUCCUAAACGAAGGGUGCCCUUCUUCCUGAGUACGUACCGACCUUUGUCACGACAACGAUAAACAGGAAAACCCACAUCAUCAACCAUCGUUUCGUCACUAAAUGGUUUAGGAAAUCUUUUGGAACAACAAUCAUUUUUCAUGCAAGCACACUUAUUGUUAUAUACACCGCAUGGACCAUGGAUCAUAAACUCGUCCACAAGAGCAUAGCCCAAAGGAUCUACCAACGGAUCUGGCAAUUCAGCGCAAAUCAAUUCGUUUAUAAAAGAUGGCGAUGGAUCCUUAGUAUUAGCCUUCAACCAAAUCAAAGUAUGAAUAUGUGGAAGGCCCCUUUUUUGAAACUCAACAACAUAUAGAUCUGCAAUAGCAAAAUCAACAUAUUACAAAAUAG